RNAcentral lists this ribosomal RNA (34 nucleotides) under uncultured ectomycorrhiza (Basidiomycota). Its description in RNAcentral is "partial 28S ribosomal RNA". The record is from RNAcentral. Lineage: Eukaryota; Fungi; Basidiomycota.
UUGUGAUCUGACCUCAGAUCAGGUAGGACUACCC